AGAGAACUGCCAUGUGAGGCAGUUCUAGUAGUAUAUCUGUUCAUAUGAAGUUAAUGCUUACACAGUUAAAAAUAAUUGCCAUAUUGAUCACCGGAAUGGAUCACAGUAUCUAGGAAAUGUGCAAUUUGUUCUUUUGUCUACAGUUUUAAUUUUAGUUCAAAUGACUUUCUGAAUCUAUUCUUUAAUCUAGACCUAUUGCAUCUGUGGUAGAAAAUAUAGGAACCCAAUCCUCAACAUCCUUUGCUUGAGACUCAUAAUUCUCAUUGCGGUAUACAGUUUGGCAUAGUGUCAUUAAUGAAUUGACAUUGAAGCCAUCACGUUUAUUUUGCUGCUGCAGCAGUCUGAGCCCCGGUUACCCUGGGUGACUUUAAACUGCAGAAACUAAUCCCAUACCCAUUUAAUCUGCCUAACUCAGAACUUCUAAAAGAGAUGACCCAGGAAAAAGCACUUUCACUUGGCAGUCCUCCACCAAAGACACCCCGCUCCAAACAACAGAAUUAACAAGAAAAAGAACAGAAAAGAAAUAUCUUGCUCAAGGGAAUGAGGAAUUCACCACUGCUGCGACAUUAAUGGUGAUGGCUAUUUGUGAAGCCUACUGAACCCUGGAUGGCUCUGAAGAAGACCCCUAGGAGAAACUGUAUCUUUAGCUUUUGAGCAAUGCAGCUAAUUUUUCACCCAAAGGUGACAAAAUCAAAGGUUUGACCCAUGACCAUUGACUUGGAAAACCAAAAUGCAGGAGUCUCUGUUUCAGCUACAGAGCAUCCGGAAGACAGAGGGGAGAGCUGAACAGAUGAAUGGACAACAAGUAGUAGGUUUAAAGAUGAUCCCUCAAGGAAGCCAUUGUGAGAAGGCUACUUUGGACCUGGAGGAAAUUAUAUCCUGAGAAAAUGAAAGAUUGCAACACGUUGGUGAGAAGAGG
RNAcentral lists this long non-coding RNA (919 nucleotides) under Canis lupus familiaris (dog). RNAcentral describes it as "lncRNA (ENSCAFG00000052869.1, ENSCAFG00805021588.1)". The record is from RNAcentral. Lineage: Eukaryota; Metazoa; Chordata; Mammalia; Carnivora; Canidae.